CAGCGCUCGCCCUCACCUCCGAGCUGGUCUCGUCGGACCCGAGACGGACAUUAACGCCAGGACGCCGAGCGGCCGGACGGGAGAUGCAUGUGGGCCAGACCCAAACACACGCUGGCCCCCCGCGCCGGACCCCGCGGAGCCUCCAAAUAUCUCCCGGCUGAAGUCACCGGCCCGACAUACCGUGCGCUGCGCGGCCGGCGGCGCAGGGCGCCGCGGCUCCCGCGGGCCCCCGCGGCGGCGGAGCCGGCCCGGGUAACCCGACACCGCGCCCGGGGGCGGCACGGCCCUCCCCGGCAGCGGCUGCUGCGCGCUCGCAUCGCGCCCGGCGCCCGCAGCGGGGCACCGCGGGCCGCCGCUCGGCACGUCGGCUCGGCCGCGGCGGCCGCCCCUCGCUCGCCCCUCGCAGGUGCCGGCGCCGGGAGCGGGGGGUCCGCCGGCCGCCGGGCCGGCCCCGCCGCGGGGGGACGCGAGGGCACCGCCGCGCCGCGCUGCGCGGCCCCUGCGCGCCGGCCGGGCUCUGCGCGCCCUGGGGGGGCGGCGGCUUCGCUCGCCGGAGGCCGCAGCAAAGCCGCUGUAAACAGUCUCGGCUUACAGCCCCGCUCCUUGUAUUUAUGACUCACCCAGUUGUCCGGAGGUAUGAGGUCUUCAUGUCGCCGGUGCUAUGAAGUUAACGCGAGCGCAGCCCGGGCAGGAGGUCGGGGAAGAGCGCGGGGCUUGUGCGGCGGCCAAUAAAGCACUCUGCGCUGC
Molecule: long non-coding RNA, 747 nt
Organism: Dromaius novaehollandiae (emu)
Lineage: Eukaryota; Metazoa; Chordata; Aves; Casuariiformes; Dromaiidae
Exons: 2
Source: RefSeq, a predicted model, not a curated record